UUGGAGGGCAAGUCUGGUGCCAGCAGCCGCGGUAAUUCCAGCUCCAAUAGCGUAUAUUAAAGUUGUUGCAGUUAAAAAGCUCGUAGUUGAAUUUCGGGAUCAAUAUGUUGGUCGUGCCUUGGUACGUACUAGUUUAUUGGUUUCUUCCUUCUGACGAACCAUGAUGUCAUUAAUUUGGUGUCUUGGGGAAUCAGGACUGUUACUUUGAAAAAAUUAGAGUGUUUAAAGCAGGCUCACGCUUGAAUACAUUAGCAUGGAAUAAUGAAAUAGGACGUUUGAUUCUAUUUUGUUGGUUUCUAGGAUCGGCGUAAUGAUUAAUAGGGAUAGUUGGGGGCAUUAGUAUUCAAUUGUCAGAGGUGAAAUUCUUGGAUUUAUUGAAGACUAACUACUGCGAAAGCAUUUGCCAAGGAUGUUUUCAUUAAUCAAGAACGAAAGUUAGGGGGUCGAAGACGAUCAGAUACCGUCGUAGUCUUAACCAUAAACUAUGCCGACUAGGGAUCGGAUGAUGUUAAUUUUUUAAUGACUCAUUCGGCGCCUUACGGGAAACCAAAGUGUUUGGGUUC
Molecule: ribosomal RNA, 563 nt
Filed under: uncultured Glomeromycotina
Lineage: Eukaryota; Fungi; Glomeromycota
Description: SSU rRNA
Rfam family: Eukaryotic small subunit ribosomal RNA
Source: RNAcentral